UGAGGAAUAUUGGACAAUGGUCGGAAGACUGAUCCAGCCAUGCCGCGUGCAGGAAGACUGCCCUAUGGGUUGUAAACUGCUUUUGUACGGGAAGAAACCGCCCCUCGUGAGGGGCUCUGACGGUACCGUACGAAUAAGCAUCGGCUAACUCCGUGCCAGCAGCCGCGGUAAUACGGAGGAUGCAAGCGUUAUCCGGAAUCAUUGGGUUUAAAGGGUCCGUAGGUGGGCGAUUAAGUCAGUGGUGAAAUCCUGCAGCUCAACUGUAGAAUUGCCUUUGAUACUGGUCGUCUUGAGUCGCUGUGAAGUGGUUGGAAUAUGUAGUGUAGCGGUGAAAUGCAUAGAUAUUACAUAGAACACCUAUUGCGAAGGCAGAUCACUAACAGCGUACUGACACUGAUGGACGAAAGCGUGGGGAGCGAACAGGAUUAGAUACCCCGUAG
RNAcentral lists this ribosomal RNA (440 nucleotides) under uncultured bacterium. RNAcentral describes it as "bacterial SSU rRNA". It matches the Rfam family "Bacterial small subunit ribosomal RNA", at positions 355 to 793 of the family's 1533-position model. The record is from RNAcentral.